Long non-coding RNA from Sarcophilus harrisii (Tasmanian devil), 7375 nucleotides. The record is from Ensembl. NCBI's taxonomy places the organism in Eukaryota, Metazoa, Chordata, Mammalia, Dasyuromorphia, Dasyuridae.
UCUGCCAUCAUCCCUUUUCCAUAUCUACUUCCCUUUUUUAUGUUAUAUCAGUACAAUCAAAUUAUACAUGUAUUCUUUUUGUAUAUCCACAACAGAAAUACAAUUCUCAAGAGUUAUUUUUACCUUUUCUGCAUCUCUUGAGUUCUAUUCUUGGAGAUCAAAUUUUUUGUUUAGUUCUGGUUUUUUCUUCAGAAACAAAUGGAAUUCAUUUGUUUCAUUAAAUGUCCAUCUUCUUCUCUGGAAGAAAAUGCUCAGCUUAGCUGGGUAGCUUAUUCUUGGCUGUAUCCCAAGUUCUUGUGCCUUUCUGGAUAUCAUAUUCCAGGCCCUUCGUUCCUUUAAUGUGGAGGCAGCCAGAUCUUGUGUGAUCCUUAUUGUGGCACCUCGGUAUUUAAAUGUUUUUGUUUUGGCUGCUUGUAAAAUUUUUUCCUUAAUCUGAUAGUUCUGAAAUUUUGCCACAAUAUUCCUUGGGGUUUUUAUUUUAGGGUUUCUUUCAGAAGGUGUUCGAUGAAUUCUUUCAAUGCCUAUUUUACCUUCUGAUUCUAUUACAUCUGGGCAGUUCUCUUUGAUGAUUUCUUGUAAAAUAGUAUCUAGGCUCUUUUUUUCAUCAUAGUUUUCAGAAAGUCCAAUAAUCCUCAGAUUAUCUCUCCUAGAUCUAUUUUCCAAGUCUGUCGUUUUUGCAAGUAGAUAAUUCAUGGUUUUUUCCAGUUUGUCAUUUUUUUGUUUUUGCUUGACUGAUUCUUGCUGUCUCAAUGAAUUAUUAGUUUCUAUUUGUUCAGUUCUAAUUUUUAAAGAAUUAUUUUCUUCAUUAGCUUUUUUUUUACUUCAUUCUGUAUAUGUCCAAUUGAGUUUUUAAGUGUAUUGUUUUGGUCUGUGGAAUUUUUUUCCAUUUCACUAAUUUUUUUUUUUAGUGAAUUAUUUUCUUUUUCCAAGUCACAGAUCCUACUUUCUUGCGUGUUCUUUGUCUUUUCCAAUUCACGGAUCCUACUUUCUUGCGAGUUCUUUGUCUUUUCCAAUUCACAAAUCCUACUUUCUAGUGAAUUCUUUAUUUUUUCCAAUUCACAAUUCUUACUUUCCUGAGAUUUUUUUACUUUUUCCAAUUCGUAUUUCAGGAAGUUGUUGCUCUCUUGUAAGGCUUCUCUUUCCUUUCCCCAUUUAUCUUCUAACUCUCUUUUGAGACUUUUAAUGGUCUCUUCUAUGAGAGCAUCAUGUAAAGGAGACAGUCUGAUGCAUUUUUGCUGUUUGCUGUCUCUUCAGGUUUGCUGACUUGCUCUUUUUCUGCAUAGAAGCUGUGGAUCGUUCUUUUCAUAUUUUUAUUCAUGUUUUAAAGCCUUUAGGGUAUGUCUCCUAGGCAAGGGGGUUACCAGCUUCCUUUGCAGAGCAGGGAGACAUGUAAACUGAUUUCCGGCUCCGAGGUAUGGGAGUGCUGUGAGUGAGAGUUUUCCCUUCCCCCAACAGGAAGUGGAUUCAGCACUGGCCGAGCUAUUGAAGUGCCCAGUAGGGCUGUGUGGGUUAGUGAUUGCCCUAGGCUAGAGACUAAGGGGUGAAAGUGUCACUGCCCCAGGCCGGAGCCUCUUGUGGGACUGUGAGUAUUAGCAGCUGACCCCAGACUGCCGAUUCCACCGAAUUCUCCCCCAGCGUCUCUGAUGCAAAUCGGCCCUGGGAAAGCUCUAUGGCCCUAAGCUGAGCCCCCCACUGCGGAGAUUGGAGGCUAACCCGGGCUGUGUCCUCCUGCUGUGCAGGAUCGCAACUGCCCCAAGGAAAAGCCACAUACUGCGGGUUGGGGCUGCUCGCUUGUGCUGAGAUCUGUGCUUUCACUUUCGGUUUGAGACUCUCCUCAGAACCUAAUUUCUCUCCCAGUUUGCGCUGAUCUCCCCCCUGGCCCUGGAACCAACCUUUUUUGGCGAGACUGCAGAUUUUCUUCGGCUGGUGAGUUGUUCUACUUCUUAUCUUUACGAAUUGUAGCAGUCAAGACUAUUUUUGAGGCUCGAUAUAAUAUUGAUAGAGAGGGUAAGAGAAGAGUUUAGAAAGUAGCGUGUGCCUUCUCCGCCAUCUUGGCUCCGCCCCCCACAUAUAAUCUUUUUAAAAUUCUUAUCUUCAUUGUAUAUAUUUAACCUAUAUUGCUUACUAUCUUGUAGAGGUUGGAGGUAAGGAAGGGUGGGAGAAAAAUUUGGAAAAAAGGCUUACAAAAAUGAAUGUUGAAAAUUAUCUUUAUAUGUAUUUGGAAAAAUAAAAUAGUAUUGAGACAAAAAUUAAAAAAAAAACACUUUAUUAUUAUUAUUUUUGCUGAGGCUAUGGGGUUAAGUGACUUGCCCAGGGUCACACAGCCAAGAAGUGUUAAGUGUCUGAGGUCAGAUUUGAACUCAGGUCUUCCUGACUUCAGGACUGGUGCUCUAUCCACUGUGCCACAGAGCCAUCCCAAAUUGUUCUUCUUAGGGAGAAGUAGAGAAGGAGGGAAAAAAAUUGGAACUCAAAAACAUGUUUAAUGAAUGUUUAAAAAAUUGCCUUUUCAUGUAAUUAAUUAAAAAAAAAAAGACUAUUUUAAAAGUGUGGUGGUUUGAUUUGCCUGGCACGUGUUGUCUUCUGCCUUUCCCUCAGGGUUCCUUGCUGCUUCAGCUAGUCCAGUUUGCCUGGAUUAAUGACAGCAAUGGAUUACCAGUUGGUAAAGUUUUUGGUUCCCUUCCCCACAGGUAUUAUUUUCCUGGAUUAUGGCUAUAUAUUGAGCCUAAAUCAGAAACAACAAUGCAAGUGAUAAUGUCAUAUCUAUAGUUUUUUACUUUAACCUGCCAAUCAUUGGUAAUUCUUUUAUGGACAUAAAGGGCUUAAGCUUGAGUAAAAUUUGAUAUGAACUUCUAAAACAAGAUUUCAUAUAUAUAUAUAUAUGCAUAUAUGAAAUCUUGUUUUAAAAGUUUUUUAUAUAUAUACACACACCUAUAUUUAUAGACAUGGACACACACACACACACAUAUGUUAAACACUAAGAUCUAUUUUAUAACAAAAGACUGUAGUUAUCACUGAUAUAGUAUUUCUUGACUGUGUGAGCUCUCUGAUGAUCAAUGUAUUUUAUUUUUGGAAGCAAUUCCUCCAAAACCCAUCUCAAUCAUAAGCAGGGGGCUUCUGUGCUGUGUUGGGUUGUCAUAUAUGUAAAUAUGAAUUCCCUUCCACAUUCCUCCUAUAUGUACAGUUUCUCACCGGGACUCUUUGAUAUCUCUAAAGUUAUGAGAUGUGAAUGAAUUCCUAAAUAUAUCCACACACUUAUUUACACAUAUUCAUCACAUAUUUGAUUUGUCUAUCACAUGUGGAUGCUCUUAUGUCUAAAGAUCUGAACUCUGAAUGCAUCCUUUCUAGAAUCAUCAAGAUUUGAGUCUUUUUUUUUCCCAAGUUAGUAAUUGUAAUGAACCCUAAGGUUUCUUCACUGAAAGAAGUUGUUGCUACACUCAUAUCUAUAUACACACAUAUCUUUCCCAUGCACAGGUUAUUAGCAUAAACUCUCUUCUACAUUGUUCAUGUCUGCAGUCUCAGACAGAUUUACUGGUAUAUAAGAGAGCUUUCUCAGAGGAAAGCAUUUCUCCAUAUGAAACAUUCUAGGGUUUAAGUGUCUUCUCUUUUGCAUGGCACAUUAUGAUUUUCAAAUAGAGGUUUUCUUACAAAAUCAAUGAUUUUCAAUUGGUGUGCUGUAGAAGACUUUUGAGUACCUUGAACAGCAAAGAAAUUAAAUCAGUCAAUACUCAAUGAAAUUAGUUUUGAUUAGUCUUUGGGAGGACAAAUACUGAAACAGAAUUUUAAAUACUUUUCCCAAAUAAUGAAUGAGACAAUAGGACUCAUUAGAAAAAAAACUGAUGUUGGAAAAAAUUGAAGGCAAAAGAGAAAGGCAGAGGAUGAGAUGGAUAGAUACUAUUAUGGAAGCAAUGGAGAUGAGCCUGAAAAGUUUUCAAGAAACAGUAGAGAAAUAACUAUAUGAACAUGUAUACAUAUAUUGUAUUUAACAUAUACUUUAACAUAUUUAACAUAUAUUGGUUUACCUGCCAUCUAGGGAAGGGAGUGGGGGAAAAAUUGGGACAAAAGGUUUUGUAACUGUCAGUGAUGAAAAAUGACCCAUGCAUAUAUCUUGUAAAUAAAAAAAAAUUAUAAUAAAAAAAAGGAACAGCAGAGGACAGAAGGGGGUGGCAUAUUAUGGUCCAUGAGGUCAUGAAGUGUUGGACAUGACAGAAUGAGUGAACAACAAAAUACUACCAUCACUUCUAUACAACCUUGCAUAUUUGGAAUAAUUGCUAGAAUGAACUUGCCUUUUACCAUCAAACAGUAAUUGAUGCUCAAAAGGGACAGAGGUUUAAUGGGCCUGAAGUUAUGAUUUCAUUGGAGAAAGGAGGUCAUUAGCACAUCCUGGAAUCUUAAAGAGUUGCCCUUAGUCAUAUCAUCAGUAUGUGUUAGAGUCAACAUUUGAAAUUUUCCAACUUUUUUUUUUAUCAAUCCAUUCUGCUGAUCUUGAGUCAAGCAAACAUUAACUUUUUAACUGUUUACUUGACACUUCAAAUAAAAAAAAUCCUAUCUGUAUUAUUAAUGAAAUUAAUUUUUGUUUUGUAAGAGCUCUUUAGCUCUUUACUAAUUUGGAUAUGAAUAUUUUCUCUCUGUUGGCUACAGAUCUCUUGUUUUCAUUCUAGCCAGAAACUAAGAAAUGUUUGAAAGAUUUUCCCCUAAAAACACCAACCGAUAUUUUGCAGUUUCAUAUUAUAGUUCUGACAAUAUAGUAAUUAUAAGCAUUGACAGAAGGAUGAUACCUUGUUAUUUUGUUGUUCUUGUUGUUGUUAUUUUUGUGAUACCUAAUAAAAAGAAGUACAUUUGUGCUAUGUGGUGGCUGGGCUAUGAACAGAUUGGAGACAAUGGGCAGAAUUUCAGAAGAAAUAUCCAAAUAUAUGAAAGCUGGUAGUAAAACAAUAUAUAUGAUUGCAUAUAUAUGGAGAACUUAGAGAGAAAGAGAAAGGACAUCAAUUACAGAUGAGGUCAACUUUGCAGGAGAUUAUCACAGAAAGAAAACUGAGCAGAAUGGUUAAAAAAAAAAAGCAAGAUAAUGCAUUGAGCAAAUGUAGAGAGUAAAUUUAUUGAAUUUUGUAAACUCUUUUUGCUCCCUCAAAGUUUCACUUUUCACUUUAUUUGAAGAAAAAGGACUUCAGUGGCACUUAAAGAUCAAAAGACACACUCAACUGUGUAAGAGAGAUGAGAAAAAUGAUUCUGUUCCUACUGACGAGUUUCGUCAAGCCCCAUUAAAGUACACACCUGCUAUUCUGGAGUGCAGUUCUGGCAUGGAAUUGUCUAUGAUCAUUGCCACUUGGGAGAUGUGAUAACUUCAAAGCUAAUGAAGAUCUAAAGGCUUCCUCAUUUUUUAAAGCUGAAUUUUAUAAUUAUCAACCAGAAGAAAUUAUUUAUGCAAAAACAAAAAUCCUUCACACAACUACAAGUGGAAUCUUAACUAAACUGAUAUUUCCUUAAAGCAAAGCAAAAUUUUAGGCAUAAUACCUUAUUAUUAUAUCAAUCUAGGGCCUAUUUAGCAAACUUCCUGCACAGUGGUUAUUCUUAUAUGGAUUAGUCCUUGGCAUCAUUUUUGGGAUGUGAUGGGAUAGUCAAGUAUUUUUUGGAAAUUUUGGAGUUUGUUUUUUAAACUAUCUCUUGAUGAUUAAUAAGGGAGAUUUAAUUUGAGUGGGAAAGUAAUCAUCCAGGAAGAGAAUGGAAUAAUUUUAGAGGUUUGCAUUUUCUUUAUUCUAGUUCUCUCCAGAAAUGUUAUUCCCUAACUCAACUUUGCUUUAUGUGAAAUAGAAAAAAAAAAGUUUUGUUCUUAGGGAGCAUAUAAAUAUCACCCAAGUCAUCAAUGAGUAUUUCUUAAGUGCCUUCUAGAAGCUGGGUUAAAAAAGCGAUAAAAGAAUCGCUGGAGAUUCUGGAGAUAAAAGAAUAAAAGGUAAACACUACACUCAAGGUAGAAACAACAUGUUUAUAUAUAAAUUUAUUCAGAAUAAAUACAAUAUAGUUAAAUAGAAGGUACUUAAAGAGAGAAACUAGAAGUGAUUAGAGGACAGGAGGAAAGCAAAUAUUUUCUGCUAGGUUCUAUUCUAAGCAACCUUGUAAAAUCUUAGAAUGAGUUUGCUUCUGGCAAUGAUGACUAAAAGGUUUAUAUUGUGGGAUGAUAAAGAGAUUCCUUUUUAAAAACAUUACAAUAAUAUUUUAUUUUUCCAAUUACAUGUAAAAAUAAUUUUCAGUAUUCAUUUUCAUAAGACUUUUAAAUUCCAAACUGUUUUCUUUCUCUCAUCCUUACCUCCUGAUUAUAAACAAUUUAAUAUAGGUUAUACGUGUGUAUAAUCAUCUUAAACAUAGUCCCAUAUUAGUUAUGUUGUAAAAGAAAAAUCAGAACAAAAGGGAAAAAAUGACAAAAAAAGCAAACAACAGCAAAGGUAAAAAUAGUAUGCUCUGAUCUUCAUUCAAUCUCAAUAGUUCUUUCUCUGGAUGAGUAUGGCAUUUUCCAUCCCAAGUCUAUUGGGAUUGUCUUGGAUCACUAUAUUGCUGAGAACUAAGUCUGUCAUAGUUGAUAAUCACAUAAUCUUACUGUUGCUGUAUACAGUGUUCUCUUAAUUCUUCUCACUUCACUUAGCAUCAGAUCUUAUAAGCCUUUCCAAGCUUUUCUAAAAUCAGCCUGCUUAUCAUUUCUUAUAGAACAAUAAUAUUCCAUUACAUUAAUAUGCCAUAACUUAUUCAGCCAUUGCCCACUUAAUGGGCAUCCACUUAAUUUCUAAUUCCUUGAUGGUGACAAAAUCUAAACAUCUAAAAAGUCUCUUCAAUGACUAAUUCUAAUAGGUAAAGUAUAUGAAUUAUUAAAAGGCUACUGAUAAAUCAUAGAAGCCCUCAAGGACCUUAUAUACCAGUUUUUUUCUGAGGGAAAUUAGGCAUCAAUGGAUUCAAUUACUUGCUUGGAGUCACAUAGCUUUAUUUGUACAAAAGCUUUCUAUUUUAACAUAAUCAAAAUUAUUUAUCUUUAUUUCACAAUGCUUUCUAGAUUUUGUUUGGUCAUGAAUUUAUUCCCUUCCCUUAGAUCUGCCAGGUUUUUUCGCUCUCCUAAUUUGCUUAUGGUAUCAGCCUUUAUGUCUAAAUCAUAUACCAUUUUUUACUUUAUUUUGGAAUAUAGUAUAAAAUUUUUUUCAGAAAGAAAAAUAAAACCAAAGAACUAAUAGUGGUCACAAGUAAAACAUUUUCUUUAUUCCCUUGAGAACCGAAAUUAGACAUGUGCAGGAGCCCGAUGGGAAAUCUCAAUACAUAUACUAAUUGCUAAGCAGUGAGCCAUAGCUCUGACAAUGAGGGGUAACAGCAGCAAUGAGACAAACUGGAUUCACAAAAG